Molecule: long non-coding RNA, 418 nt
Organism: Micropterus dolomieu (smallmouth bass)
Lineage: Eukaryota; Metazoa; Chordata; Actinopteri; Centrarchiformes; Centrarchidae
Exons: 3
Source: RefSeq, a predicted model, not a curated record
CCCAGAACAAACUCAUUUAAAAUGGCUCUCUUCAAUGUGAGAUCACUUUCAACUUCCCAGUCGACGGACACCAGCCCUGCUCCCAGACCACCUGUGCCCCUGACCCCAUCUGUUGUGGGGCCACCAGCUUCCCACUCCACAGGCCCCAGUUCUGUGGAAGAUGCCACUCAGUUGGAUAGCUAGGAGUCCCAACCAGCACAUGAUUGAAAUAUUUGGAGGUUCGGGGCUAAGGAGUGCCCCAGAGGGCACAAUCUCCUCCACACCCCUCUUUCAGAACCCACAAGCCCCAACCUGCUGAAGAUCUGGAGAGGUAGAGGAGGUUGAAAGAAAGAAGGAACUUCGGAAAAAAGAUCUUUGCCAAAUAUCCCAGAGCCUGGACCAAAUUGACAAAGAGCAAGAUGGAAUAAUAGAGUUACUU